This 393-nucleotide ribosomal RNA is filed under the name uncultured bacterium. RNAcentral describes it as "partial 16S ribosomal RNA". It matches the Rfam family "Bacterial small subunit ribosomal RNA", at positions 523 to 918 of the family's 1533-position model. The record is from RNAcentral.
AUACGGAGGAUCCGAGCGUUAUCCGGAUUUAUUGGGUCUAAAGGGUGCGCAGGCGGGAGAUUAAGUCGGCGGUGAAAUUUUGCAGCUCAACUGUAAAAGUGCCUUCGAAACUGGUUUCCUUGAGUGUAGAUGAAGUAGGCGGAAUUUGUGGGGUAGCGGUGAAAUGCAUAGAUAUCACGAGGAACUCCGAUUGCGCAGGCAGCUUACUAAACUACUACUGACGCUCAGGCACGAAGGCGUGGGGAUCAAACAGGAUUAGAUACCCUGGUAGUCCACGCAGUAAACGAUGAUUACUAGCUGUUUGCGAUUCAAUGUAAGCGGCUGAGCGAAAGCGUUAAGAAAUCCACCUGGGGAGUUCGUUCGCAAGAGUGAAACUCAAAGGAAUUGACGGGG